AGCUCUAAUAGUGUAUCUUAAUGUUGUUGCAGUUAAAAAGCUCGUAGUUGAAUUUCUGACAAUCCCGCCGAUCUAAAUGAGAAGCAUGGAUAUGUCAUCCGCAUUGGAAAUACAUUUGGUAGCGAUACCAGUGUACGGAAGGUGCAUUUUACUUUGAAGAAAUUAGAGUGUUCCAGGCAGGCUAUGCUUGAAUAUUACAGCAUGGAAUAAUGGAAUAGGACAUGUCUAUUUUAUUGGUUAUUAGACUUGUAAUGAUUAACAGGGACAGUUGGGGGCAUUCGUAUUGGGUAGUCAGAGGUGAAAUUCUUAGAUUUACUCAAGACGCACUAAUGCGAAGGCAUUUGCCAAGGAUGUUUUCA
This 359-nucleotide ribosomal RNA is filed under the name uncultured eukaryote. Its description in RNAcentral is "SSU rRNA". It matches the Rfam family "Eukaryotic small subunit ribosomal RNA", at positions 587 to 972 of the family's 1831-position model. The record is from RNAcentral.